UACGGAGGAUCCAAGCGUUAUCCGGAUUUAUUGGGUUUAAAGGGUGCGUAGGCGGAUUGAUAAGUUAGAGGUGAAAUGUCCGAGCUCAACUCGGGAACUGCCUCUAAUACUGUUGAUCUAGAGAGUAGAUGCGGUAGGCGGAAUGUAUGGUGUAGCGGUGAAGUGCUUAGAGAUCAUACAGAACACCGAUUGCGAAGGCAGCUUACCAAUCUAUAUCUGACGUUGAGGCACGAAAGCGUGGGGAGCAAACAGG
Molecule: ribosomal RNA, 253 nt
Filed under: uncultured bacterium
Lineage: Bacteria
Description: partial 16S ribosomal RNA
Rfam family: Bacterial small subunit ribosomal RNA
Source: RNAcentral